AUUCCAGCUCCAAUAGCGUAUAUUAAAGUUGUUGCGGUUAAAAAGCUCGUAGUUGGAUUUCUGCUGUGAACGCCUGGUCCACCCCCUGGGUGAGUAUCUGGGUUGUUUAUGGCAUCUUCUUGGGGAACGCUCUGUACUUGACUGUAUGGAGUGGUAUCCAAGACCUUUACUUUGAGGAAAUUAGAGUGUUUCAAGCAGGCCUUUUGCCUUGAAUACAUUAGCAUGGAAUAAUAAGAUAGGACUUUGGGUUCUAUUUUGUUGGUUUCUAGAGCUGAAGUAAUGAUUAAUAGGGAUAGUUGGGGCAUUCGUAUUUAACUGUCAGAGGUGAAAUUCUUGGAUUUGUUUAAAGACGGACUACUGCGAAAGCAUUUUGCCAAGGAUGUUUUUCAUUGAUCAAGAACGAAAGUUAGGGGAUCGAAGACGAUCAGAUACCGUCCUAGUCUUAACCAUAAACCAUGCCGACUAGAGAUUGGAGGGCGUUUUUUACGG
RNAcentral lists this ribosomal RNA (489 nucleotides) under uncultured marine eukaryote. Its description in RNAcentral is "bacterial SSU rRNA". It matches the Rfam family "Eukaryotic small subunit ribosomal RNA", at positions 582 to 1072 of the family's 1831-position model. The record is from RNAcentral.